UCCCUGAUAGCUUAGUUGGUAAAGAAUCUACCUGCAAUGCAGGAGACCCCGGUUCGAUUCCUGGGUUGGGAA
Molecule: transfer RNA, 72 nt
Filed under: Ovis aries (sheep)
Lineage: Eukaryota; Metazoa; Chordata; Mammalia; Artiodactyla; Bovidae
Rfam family: tRNA
About the family: Transfer RNA (tRNA) molecules are approximately 80 nucleotides in length. Their secondary structure includes four short double-helical elements and three loops (D, anti-codon, and T loops).
Source: Rfam by way of RNAcentral